UACUGGGCGUAAAAGGUCGUAGGCGGCUGUCGCGUUGUUCGUGAAAACUCACAGCUUAACUGGGGGGGUGCGGGCGAUACUGGGAGACUAGAGUGCUGAAGGGGAGAUUGGAAUUCCUGGUGUAGAGGUGGAAUGCGCAGAUGUCAGGAGGAUCACCGGUGGCGAAAGGGGGCCUCUGGCCAGUAACUGACGCUGAGGAGCGAAAGCGUGGGGAGCGAACAGGAUUAGAUACCCUGGAAGUCCACGCCGGAAACGGUGGGAACUAGGUGUGGGUUCCUUCCUUGGGAUCCGUGCCGUAGCUAAAGCAUUAAGUACCCCGCCUGGGGAGAACGGCCGCAAGGCUAAAACUCAAAAGAAUUGACGGGGGGCCGCACAAUCGGCGGAGCAUGUGGAUUAAUUCGAUGCAACGCGAAGAACCUUACCUGGGUUUGACAUGCACAGGACGCCGGCAGAGAUGUCGGUUCCCUUGUGGCCUGUGUGCAGGUGGUGCAUGGCUGUCGUCAGCUCGUGUCGUGAGAUGUUGGGUUAAGUCCCGCAACGAGCGCAACCCUUGUCCUAUGUUGCCAGCGGGUUAUGCCGGGGACUCGUAGGAGACUGCCGGGGUCAACUCGGAGGAAGGUGGGGAUGACGUCAAGUCAUCAUGCCCCUUAUGUCCAGGGCUUCACACAUGCUACAAUGGCCGGUACAAAGGGCUGCGAUGCCGUGAGGUGGAGCGAAUCCUUUCAAAGCCGGUCUCAGUUCGGAUCGGGGUCUGCAACUCGACCCCGUGAAGUCGGAGUCGCUAGUAAUCGCAGAUCAGCAACGCUGCGGUGAAUACGUUCCCGGGGCCUUGUACACACCGCCCGUCACGUCAUGAAAAGUCGGUAACACCCGAAGCCGGUGGCCUAACCCUUGUGGAGGGAGCCGUCGAAGGUGGGAUCGGCGAUUGGGAC
Molecule: ribosomal RNA, 932 nt
Filed under: Mycolicibacterium sp.
Lineage: Bacteria; Bacillati; Actinomycetota; Actinomycetes; Mycobacteriales; Mycobacteriaceae
Description: bacterial SSU rRNA
Rfam family: Bacterial small subunit ribosomal RNA
Source: RNAcentral